Molecule: ribosomal RNA, 1001 nt
Filed under: Lacticaseibacillus casei
Lineage: Bacteria; Bacillati; Bacillota; Bacilli; Lactobacillales; Lactobacillaceae
Description: bacterial SSU rRNA
Rfam family: Bacterial small subunit ribosomal RNA
Source: RNAcentral
CCUAAUACAUGCAAGUCGAACGAGUUCUCGUUGAUGAUCGGUGCUUGCACCGAGAUUCAACAUGGAACGAGUGGCGGACGGGUGAGUAACACGUGGGUAACCUGCCCUUAAGUGGGGGAUAACAUUUGGAAACAGAUGCUAAUACCGCAUAGAUCCAAGAACCGCAUGGUUCUUGGCUGAAAGAUGGCGUAAGCUAUCGCUUUUGGAUGGACCCGCGGCGUAUUAGCUAGUUGGUGAGGUAAUGGCUCACCAAGGCGAUGAUACGUAGCCGAACUGAGAGGUUGAUCGGCCACAUUGGGACUGAGACACGGCCCAAACUCCUACGGGAGGCAGCAGUAGGGAAUCUUCCACAAUGGACGCAAGUCUGAUGGAGCAACGCCGCGUGAGUGAAGAAGGCUUUCGGGUCGUAAAACUCUGUUGUUGGAGAAGAAUGGUCGGCAGAGUAACUGUUGUCGGCGUGACGGUAUCCAACCAGAAAGCCACGGCUAACUACGUGCCAGCAGCCGCGGUAAUACGUAGGUGGCAAGCGUUAUCCGGAUUUAUUGGGCGUAAAGCGAGCGCAGGCGGUUUUUUAAGUCUGAUGUGAAAGCCCUCGGCUUAACCGAGGAAGCGCAUCGGAAACUGGGAAACUUGAGUGCAGAAGAGGACAGUGGAACUCCAUGUGUAGCGGUGAAAUGCGUAGAUAUAUGGAAGAACACCAGUGGCGAAGGCGGCUGUCUGGUCUGUAACUGACGCUGAGGCUCGAAAGCAUGGGUAGCGAACAGGAUUAGAUACCCUGGUAGUCCAUGCCGUAAACGAUGAAUGCUAGGUGUUGGAGGGUUUCCGCCCUUCAGUGCCGCAGCUAACGCAUUAAGCAUUCCGCCUGGGGAGUACGACCGCAAGGUUGAAACUCAAAGGAAUUGACGGGGGCCCGCACAAGCGGUGGAACAUGUGGUUUAAUUCAAAUCAACGCGAAGAACCUUACCAGGUCUUGACAUCUUUUGAUCACCUGAAAAAACCAG